CCAAUAGCGUAUAUUAAAGUUGUUGCAGUUAAAAAGCUCGUAGUUGAAUUUUAGGCUUGGCCGGGCGGUCCGUCUUUGGCGAGUACUGUCCUGUGUCGGGUCUUCCUUCUGGUGAACCAGUAUGUCCUUUAUUGGGUGUGCUGGGGAGCCAGGACCAUUACCUUGAAAAAAUUAGAGUGUUUAAAGCGGGCUAUUGCUUGAAUAGAUUAGCAUGGAAUAAUAGAAUAGGACGUUGUGGUUCUAUUUUGUUGGUUUCUAGGACCACCGUAAUGAUUAAUAGGGAUAGUUGGGGGCAUUAGUAUUCAAUUGUCAGAGGUGAAAUUCUUGGAUUUAUUGAAGACUAACUACUGCGAAAGCAUUUGCCAAGGAUGUUUUCAUUAAUCAAGAACGAAAGUUAGGGGAUCGAAGACGAUCAGAUACCGUCGUAGUCUUAACCAUAAACUAUGCCGACUAGGAAUCGGGCGACGUUAUUUUAAUGACUCGCUCGGCGCCUUAUG
RNAcentral lists this ribosomal RNA (497 nucleotides) under uncultured Glomeromycotina. RNAcentral describes it as "partial small subunit ribosomal RNA". It matches the Rfam family "Eukaryotic small subunit ribosomal RNA", at positions 591 to 1092 of the family's 1831-position model. Lineage: Eukaryota; Fungi; Glomeromycota. The record is from RNAcentral.